RNAcentral lists this long non-coding RNA (1849 nucleotides) under Macaca fascicularis (crab-eating macaque). RNAcentral describes it as "lncRNA (ENSMFAG00000056911.1)". The record is from RNAcentral. Lineage: Eukaryota; Metazoa; Chordata; Mammalia; Primates; Cercopithecidae.
UUUUUUUUUUUUUUUUUCUUUUUUGAGACAGAGUCUUGCUCUGUCGCCCAGGCUGGAGUGCAGUGGUGCCAGCUCACUGCAACCUCCGCCUCCUGGGUUCAAGCGAUUCCCCUGCCUCAGCCUCCCGAGUAGCUGUGACUACAGGCAUGCGCCACCACGCCCAAAAAUUUUUGGUAUUUUUUAGUAGAGAUGAUAUUUCGCCCUGUUGGCCAGGAUGGUCUCAAUCUCUGACCUCUUGAUCUGCCCUGCCUUGGCCUCCCAAAGUGCUAGGAUUAUAGGCGUGAGCCACCGCACCAGGCCUGCCUUGCUUUUUUUUUUUUUUUUUUUAACAAUACCUUGGUUGAAUUUAAGGAUGGAAACUACACACACACACAGAAUUCUUACAUGCAUGAGAUAGCCAAGAUUACAACUAAUAUUUAAAUGCCAAGAGAACACUGACUGGUGCCACUCACACUCUUAAGGCCAGCACACUGAACUACAUCGAUUCCAGUAAGCAUCCCACGCUCUAUCCACUUCACCUGCAAUGUGCCAGAAUGCAUCAGAGAGCGAUGGAGAUGCUGGAUGAGGGUCGCCAGGUAUCAAGCCAGCCCCAAGAGUUCUGAGCUCCCAGCCCUGGGCCCCAAACCCUGAGCCCUGCAUUCACCCUCUCACCACCAGGAGGCGCUGCAGAGUGAAGAGGAGAAGGAAGCAAGACCAGAGGGGGGAUAGAACCACGGCUUUGAAAUACAUGCUGGUUAUUCAAAUCUCCUCCUCGCCACUGACCCUGCCUCCUUCCUAUGUACAGCCAACUAUCUGUGAAGAUCCUUUUCUUUUGUCCCCUGAAAGGUCACCAGUGACCCUUGGAGACCAGCCUGAGAUGCCAGGGACCAGGGUCCCAAGAUGCCACCAUCCCUGGCCCAGUGCUCCUGGCCAAGGUAGGCAGCAUCUCUGCAGUUCCUUAUCCCUCAUGGGAAAGGCUGUUCUCAAGGGAAACCAUCACCAGCUCUGCUGAGGGCAGUUCUGCCCUGAUGGGUCUCCUAGGUCUCAAGCAAGCAUCUUCAUUAUCUCUGACAGUGCUGAGUUGCGCCAGACUGAAACAAUACCUCCAAGGGGGAAAGUCACUUUAUUUUUAUUUUACUUGAGUUCACUUAUUUCUAAGGGACUUGAUGAUCUGGCUGCCCAUGCCUGCUUCCUGAACAUUCCUACGUUUGAGGCAAGACUUUACACACCUCCCCUCUGGGGAAGCCAUCUGCUCUGCAGAAGUGCCCUUGUCUUGGCAACAUUCUCUUCAAGGAUGCUAAUGCCUUAGGGCAUGAAUUCCUUGCUUUGGGGUACUAGAGAAGUACCAGAAGCUUGGUAUGGGCUGAGCUAUCCUGAUGGCAUUUUCAAAAGGAAAGGUACGUGAAGUUCAAGUACUUCCUGCUCAAUUUCAGGUAGAUAGUACGCUGUUUGUACUGCGAAUGGCAUAAGCAGGUCUGUCCUGCAGGAUGCUGGGAAGAUGACUGCAUUAACAUUUGUGGGAUAGAGAAGCCAAAUUCUCAAGUCUUCUGAUGAAGGCGACUCUGGUUUGUAUAAUAAAGUAUUGGCAAAAAUAGCCGAGUGCAGCAUGCAUGCUAGAGGUUCUGCACACACUGUCAUUUGGCAGUGUGCCAGACGACCAGUUAGCUCAUCGAGGAGAGCUUAGAAGAGGACCCUGCAGAGAACCACCAUUCUGGCUGAGGGACCAGCCUUUGUGAUCCCACCAGCACGCCUCCUAUUAUGAGGUCAUGUCUUGCUUAUCCUAAGACUGCUGGUUGGCAGAGGUCUUGAACCAUUAAGAGUGCAUGAGGUUAAUCUAAUUAUUUGCUCAUAGAUCUCUUUUAUGAGAGAA